Molecule: ribosomal RNA, 468 nt
Filed under: uncultured bacterium
Lineage: Bacteria
Description: partial 16S ribosomal RNA
Rfam family: Bacterial small subunit ribosomal RNA
Source: RNAcentral
GGGGGGGGGGGGCGGGGUGCUGAGGGGGGGCGGGGCGGACGGGGCGGCCCUGCUUGUGUGGGGUGCUCGAGUGGCGAACGGGUGAGUAACACGUGAGUAACCUGCCCUUGACUUUGGGAUAACUUAAGGAAACUGGGGCUUAUACCGGCUAGGAGCUCCUGCUGCAUGGUGGGGGUUGGAAAGUUUCGGCGGUUGGGGAUGGACCCGCGGCUUCUCAGGCUCUUGGUGUGGUAGUGGCUUACCAAUGCUUUGACGGAGAGCCUGCCUGAGAGGGUGACGGGCCACAUUGGGACUGAGAUACGGCCCAGACGCAUACGGGAGGCAGCAGGGGGGAAUAUUGCACAAUGAGCGGAAGCCUGAUGCAGCAACGCCGCGUGCGGGAUGACGGCCUUCGGGUGGUAAACCACUUUCGCCUGUGACGAAGCGUGAGUGACGGUAAUGUGUAAAGAAGCACCGGCUAACUACGUG